This 497-nucleotide ribosomal RNA is filed under the name uncultured bacterium. RNAcentral describes it as "partial 16S ribosomal RNA". It matches the Rfam family "Bacterial small subunit ribosomal RNA", at positions 28 to 507 of the family's 1533-position model. The record is from RNAcentral.
GACGAACGCUGGCGGCGUGCCUAAUACAUGCAAGUAGAACGCUGAAGAGAGGAGCUUGCUCUUCUUGGAUGAGUUGCGAACGGGUGGGUAACGCGUAGGUAACCUGCCUUGUAGCGGGGGAUAACUAUUGGAAACGAUAGCUAAUACCGCAUAACAAUGGAUGACACAUGUCAUUUAUUUGAAAGGGGCAAUUGCUCCACUACAAGAUGGACCUGCGUUGUAUUAGCUAGUAGGUGAGGUAAUGGCUCACCUAGGCGACGAUACAUAGCCGACCUGAGAGGGUGAUCGGCCACACUGGGACUGAGACACGGCCCAGACUCCUACGGGAGGCAGCAGUAGGGAAUCUUCGGCAAUGGGGGCAACCCUGACCGAGCAAAGCCGCGUGAGUGAAGAAGGUUUUCGGAUCGUAAAGCUCUGUUGUAAGUCAAGAACGGGUGUGAGAGUGGAAAGUUCACACUGUGACGGUAGCUUACCAGAAAGGGACGGCUAACUACGUG